GUUUAGCCCCGAUUGCAGUGAAAAUCCCACGCUUUUUGGCGUGGAUUGUAACGGAAAGCGGGAGGGAAG
RNAcentral lists this small RNA (69 nucleotides) under Flavobacterium sp. A45. RNAcentral describes it as "Flavo-1 RNA". It matches the Rfam family "Flavo-1 RNA". Lineage: Bacteria; Pseudomonadati; Bacteroidota; Flavobacteriia; Flavobacteriales; Flavobacteriaceae. The record is from Rfam by way of RNAcentral.